RNAcentral lists this long non-coding RNA (262 nucleotides) under Cyanistes caeruleus (blue tit). RNAcentral's name for it is "lncRNA (ENSCCEG00000001564.1)". Lineage: Eukaryota; Metazoa; Chordata; Aves; Passeriformes; Paridae. The record is from RNAcentral.
CCCAGGUCCUGGCAGGGGUGUACCCCAAUCCUGUUUCUCCCCCAGGUCCUGGCAGGGCUGUACCCCAAUCCCAACCCCAUUUUCCCGUUCCCAGGUCCUGGCAGGGGUGUACCCCAUUGCCCAGCUGCAGGACCCCUACUCGGCCGUGGGGUUCCUGGGGUCCCGCCUGGCCCUGCCCCCGCUGCUGCAGCUGCGCCCCCCAAACGGCCCCGGCUGGACGGCCUGGGAGAUCUGCGAAGCCUGGGCGGAGAAGAGGGGCUAC